Non-coding RNA from Physcomitrium patens, 1139 nucleotides. The record is from RefSeq and is a predicted model, not a curated record. NCBI's taxonomy places the organism in Eukaryota, Viridiplantae, Streptophyta, Bryopsida, Funariales, Funariaceae.
UUUGGUUUUUUGUUUUUUGUUUUGUUUUGUCUUUGUUUUUUUUUCCUUCACGGUUCAUGAGUUCCGGCGCUCCAAAAAAUUGUUUUGGGUUCUCCUCCACAUUGUGGAAAUGUUGCGCACUUUUGAGAAGGGCUCGAGGCGAUCGUGUUGCCGGUGGAGGGCGACUACAAGGGUGCCGGCGUUGCGAAGGCUCAAGAUCUGGAACUGGUUCCUUUCCUCGCUUUGCUACAGUGCAGCAAGUGUUUGGUAUUCCUUAACGCAGCGGUGCAGCAACGACACUACGACAUUAUUUUUACCUUCUUCCAAAUUCUUCCCUUCUUACUGUGUUGCAGAGGCGUGUUGAAGUGGCUCAAGUUGCGGUGGUCGAUUAGGAUUGGCAGCAAUAAUCUGGCGCAACAGAAGCUCCUCUGUUGUUUUUUUCCCUUGUGUGUUACAGGAGCUUCGAGCGCUCUGACUAUGAGGGUUGUUCCUUGCGCUUCGCGAAUUCUGGCGUUGAGGUAUCACGUUCAGAGGCUCAGUGAGCUGGAUUGCUUAGCGACAUUGAAGUUGAAGGUGGCAUUGCCGUUGUUCCUCGACCUGUUUGAGUUAUCUUCCUAUUUUUCUCCUCCUCGAUUUUGUGCUGGAAAGGCUUCGCAAGGGUGGUUGGGCUGCAAUGUUGUGGCAGUCCCUUGUGGUUCGUCUGGAUUUAUUUCCUAUACAAAGGUUGCAGGACUUGGAAGAACACCUGUUGUGCGACGUUGAUUUGGUUGGUUCAGCGAAGGCUGCGGACAUUUUGACGAGGUCGAUUAGGGGCGUUGGGUGUGGUUGAUUUAAUCAAACGAUAGGCAAUCACCGUGACUUGAAACUUGUAGCAAUUGUGUUAACGACUAGUGUCACAUCAGGUGGUCAUUAUGAGAGCUAGCCCAACAAUUGUUCAUCUUUGAGUGCAAUUGCAAUUUCUGUGAAGACUAUUGCGAUGAAGAUUAAUGAGCAAGCAAGUAACAAAGUCACAAGCCCAAAAAUUCUAGUAGAACGUCAAGCUACUUCAUUACAAAGCACAAAAUAAUAGAUACAUUUUAGUGAUUCAAUUCAAACUUCAUUUCUAAGCUCAUUAAAAAGGUUUGAGAAUUUGAACUUUAUCUUCUUUGUUUUGAUCAUAA